This 607-nucleotide ribosomal RNA is filed under the name uncultured bacterium. RNAcentral's name for it is "bacterial SSU rRNA". It matches the Rfam family "Bacterial small subunit ribosomal RNA", at positions 28 to 657 of the family's 1533-position model. The record is from RNAcentral.
GACGAACGCUGGCGGCGUGCCUAACACAUGCAAGUCGCACGGGGUAGCAAUACCCAGUGGCGAACGGGUGCGUAACACGUGAGGAACAUACCUAUCGGCGGGGAGUAGCCGGCCCAACGGCCGGGUAAUACCGCGUACGCUCUCCGGGGUCAGGCUCUCCUGGGGAGGAAAGCAGCAAUGCACCGAUAGAGUGCCUCGCGGCCUAUCAGCUAGUUGGUGAGGUAAUGGCUCACCAAGGCGACGACGGGUAGCUGGUCUGAGAGGAUGAUCAGCCACAUUGGGACUGAGACACGGCCCAGACUCCUACGGGAGGCAGCAGUGGGGAAUCUUGCGCAAUGGGCGAAAGCCUGACGCAGCGACGCCGCGUGUGGGAUGAAGGCCUCGGGUCGUAAACCACUGUCGCGAGGGACGAAUAAAUUGACGGUACCUCGAAAGGAAGCACCGGCUAACUCUGUGCCAGCAGCCGCGGUAAUACAGAGGGUGCGAGCGUUGUCCGGAAUUCACUGGGCGUAAAGGGCGCGUAGGUGGCUGUGUAAGUCGGGGGUGAAAUGCUGCGGCUCAACCGCAGCGCUGCCUCCGAGACUGCACGGCUUGAGCACGGUAGAGG